GUUAAGGGGUUUAUUGUCUGGUUCAAGGCCUCCUGCUGUCCUACAUCACAUUUUUUUUCUUUGUUCUGAAUUAUUGAUGGAUGUGUGUGUGCAUGAUGCAUGGCUGGUGGUGACCUCGGACCAGGCUUCAUUCCCUUUAAC
Molecule: microRNA precursor, 141 nt
Organism: Oryza sativa Indica Group (long-grained rice)
Lineage: Eukaryota; Viridiplantae; Streptophyta; Magnoliopsida; Poales; Poaceae
Rfam family: mir-166 microRNA precursor family
About the family: This family represents the plant microRNA (miRNA) precursor mir-166. Animal miRNAs are transcribed as ~70nt precursors and subsequently processed by the Dicer enzyme to give a ~22nt product. In plants the precursor sequences may be longer, and the carpel factory (caf) enzyme appears to be involved in processing.
Source: Rfam